RNAcentral lists this ribosomal RNA (1123 nucleotides) under Bacteroides cellulosilyticus. RNAcentral's name for it is "bacterial SSU rRNA". The record is from RNAcentral. Lineage: Bacteria; Pseudomonadati; Bacteroidota; Bacteroidia; Bacteroidales; Bacteroidaceae.
AUUUCGAUAACCGAUGGGGAUGCGUUCCAUUAGUUUGUUGGCGGGGUAACGGCCCACCAAGACAUCGAUGGAUAGGGGUUCUGAGAGGAAGGUCCCCCACAUUGGAACUGAGACACGGUCCAAACUCCUACGGGAGGCAGCAGUGAGGAAUAUUGGUCAAUGGACGAGAGUCUGAACCAGCCAAGUAGCGUGAAGGAUGACUGCCCUAUGGGUUGUAAACUUCUUUUAUAUGGGAAUAAAGUGAGCCACGUGUGGCUUUUUGUAUGUACCAUACGAAUAAGGAUCGGCUAACUCCGUGCCAGCAGCCGCGGUAAUACGGAGGAUCCGAGCGUUAUCCGGAUUUAUUGGGUUUAAAGGGAGCGUAGGCGGACUAUUAAGUCAGCUGUGAAAGUUUGCGGCUCAACCGUAAAAUUGCAGUUGAUACUGGUCGUCUUGAGUGCAGUAGAGGUAGGCGGAAUUCGUGGUGUAGCGGUGAAAUGCUUAGAUAUCACGAAGAACUCCGAUUGCGAAGGCAGCUUACUGGACUGUAACUGACGCUGAUGCUCGAAAGUGUGGGUAUCAAACAGGAUUAGAUACCCUGGUAGUCCACACAGUAAACGAUGAAUACUCGCUGUUUGCGAUAUACRGCAAGCGGCCAAGCGAAAGCAUUAAGUAUUCCACCUGGGGAGUACGCCGGCAACGGUGAAACUCAAAGGAAUUGACGGGGGCCCGCACAAGCGGAGGAACAUGUGGUUUAAUUCGAUGAUACGCGAGGAACCUUACCCGGGCUUAAAUUGCAUAUGAAUAAUUUGGAAACAUUUUAGCCGCAAGGCAUUUGUGAAGGUGCUGCAUGGUUGUCGUCAGCUCGUGCCGUGAGGUGUCGGCUUAAGUGCCAUAACGAGCGCAACCCUUAUCUUUAGUUACUAACAGGUCAUGCUGAGGACUCUAGAGAGACUGCCGUCGUAAGAUGUGAGGAAGGUGGGGAUGACGUCAAAUCAGCACGGCCCUUACGUCCGGGGCUACACACGUGUUACAAUGGGGGGUACAGAAGGCAGCUACACAGCGAUGUGAUGCUAAUCCCAAAAGCCUCUCUCAGUUCGGAUUGGAGUCUGCAACCCGACUCCAUGAAGCUGGAUUCGCUAGU